GACGAACGCUGGCGGCGUGCCUAAUACAUGCAAGUAGAACGCUGAAGGAGGAGCUUGCUCUUCUGGAUGAGUUGCGAACGGGUGAGUAACGCGUAGGUAACCUGCCUGGUAGCGGGGGAUAACUAUUGGAAACGAUAGCUAAUACCGCAUAACAGUAGAUGUUGCAUGACAUUUACUUAAAAGGUGCAAUUGCAUCACUACCAGAUGGACCUGCGUUGUAUUAGCUAGUUGGUGGGGUAACGGCUCACCAAGGCGACGAUACAUAGCCGACCUGAGAGGGUGAUCGGCCAAACUGGGACGGAGACACGGCCCAGACUCCUACGGGAGGCAGCAGUAGGGAAUCUUCGGCAAUGGACGGAAGUCUGACCGAGCAACGCCGCGUGAGUGAAGAAGGUUUUCGGAUCGUAAAGCUCUGUUGUAAGAGAAGAACGAGUGUGAGAGUGGAAAGUUCACACUGUGACGGUAGCUUACCAGAAAGGGACGGCUAACUACGUG
RNAcentral lists this ribosomal RNA (495 nucleotides) under uncultured bacterium. Its description in RNAcentral is "partial 16S ribosomal RNA". It matches the Rfam family "Bacterial small subunit ribosomal RNA", at positions 28 to 507 of the family's 1533-position model. The record is from RNAcentral.